This 806-nucleotide long non-coding RNA is filed under the name Mytilus galloprovincialis (Mediterranean mussel). Lineage: Eukaryota; Metazoa; Mollusca; Bivalvia; Mytilida; Mytilidae. The record is from RNAcentral.
AUAUAGCAUCUUUUGAACUGUAAAUCUUGAUUAAUGAUUUAUGAAAAAACUUAAAAUUUAAGACUUUUCAUUUAAUACUUCAAAUUUUUUAUAAAGCAAAAAUACUUGAUUUUUAGGCAAAUGCAUGAUGUUUUAUGAAACUUAAAAAUUAAAAAGUUAACCAAUUUAGAAAAAAAAUAUUUGCAUUUGAUUAAUUUUCCAUAGACAUAUAUAUAUAUGCUAUAUGGUUAAUGUUUUGCAUAUUUGCUUAAAUUUUUUGAGGGGGAAAUAUUGAGUGUAUAUAAACAUUAUGAGGGGUGCUGCUUUUAUUGACAAUCACUGUGAUAACAUAUUGCAUAUGUCCUCAAUAUUGUUCUUUUUUAAAAUUCAUCUAAUUCUGACCAUUUUUAAAGAGGAAUUAUAGGAAAUUUGAAGCUAGGUAGCAUAUACAUGUAUACAAAUUUCAUAUAUAAAUGCUGUAUGGCGACUUUAUAAUUGCUUACAGCCACUUCAUUUGGACUCUGUUGGAUAGCGGUCUCAUCGACACUCAUAUUACCUCUUUAUUUUAUACUGAUAAUCUGUUUUUUUUGUUUUUUUUUACCAAAAUGUUAUAGAAAUUUAAGUAAUUUCUGUAUAACUUUAAUUAAUAUUUCUCUUUGGAUAAAACUAUUACUAAUUGUAUGCUUACUUAAAAUAAUUUAUUUUUGAUAUUUGCAUUUAAAAUCCAGACUGAGAUUGAGUACUAAUAUAUUAUUUACCAGUAUGUUAAAUUUAUAAUUUUACUGUUUUAUGUAAUUGAUAAACAAAAUAUUUAUUUUUUUUAAGAA